GCUGGGUGCAGUGGUGUGUACCUGUAAUCCCAGCUACUCGGGAGGCUGAGACAGGAGAAUGGCUAGAACCUGGGAGGUGGAGGCUGCAGUGAGCUGAGAUCACACCACUGCACUCCAACCUGGGUGACAGAGCCAGACUCCGUCUCAA
This is an unclassified non-coding RNA of Papio anubis (olive baboon), 148 nucleotides long. It matches the Rfam family "Metazoan signal recognition particle RNA". Rfam says of the family: The signal recognition particle (SRP) is a universally conserved ribonucleoprotein. It is involved in the co-translational targeting of proteins to membranes. Lineage: Eukaryota; Metazoa; Chordata; Mammalia; Primates; Cercopithecidae. The record is from Ensembl.